RNAcentral lists this transfer RNA (63 nucleotides) under Macrosteles quadrimaculatus. Its description in RNAcentral is "tRNA-Thr". Lineage: Eukaryota; Metazoa; Arthropoda; Insecta; Hemiptera; Cicadellidae. The record is from RNAcentral.
GUUUUAAUAAUUUAAUAAAAAUAUCAAUCUUGUAAAUUGAAUUUAGGGUAAACCUUUAAAACU